RNAcentral lists this long non-coding RNA (177 nucleotides) under Rhinopithecus bieti (black snub-nosed monkey). RNAcentral's name for it is "lncRNA (ENSRBIG00000045889.1)". Lineage: Eukaryota; Metazoa; Chordata; Mammalia; Primates; Cercopithecidae. The record is from RNAcentral.
AUGAAAACUGGAAGAGAAAGGCAAGGUUGGAAGGCAGGAAAUAAAACGUGGCCAACAGUAGGGAUGGAGUUGCUGAAUGUGCAUUAUCUAAUCAAUCGAUUUCUGGAUACUUUCAAGGUUGCUCUUCUGAAAAAGGUAUGGUUUGGCCAUAAGGCCAGAAAGAUUUCACAGGCCUGA